This 618-nucleotide ribosomal RNA is filed under the name uncultured bacterium. Its description in RNAcentral is "bacterial SSU rRNA". It matches the Rfam family "Bacterial small subunit ribosomal RNA", at positions 202 to 842 of the family's 1533-position model. The record is from RNAcentral.
CAAAGGUGAGCCAGUACAGGAUGGACCCGCGUCUGAUUAGCUAGUUGGUAAGGUAACGGCUUACCAAGGCGACGAUCAGUAGCCGACCUGAGAGGGUGAUCGGCCACAUUGGAACUGAGACACGGUCCAAACUCCUACGGGAGGCAGCAGUGGGGAAUAUUGCAUAAUGGGCGAAAGCCUGAUGCAGCAACGCCGCGUGAGUGAUGAAGGCCUUCGGGUCGUAAAACUCUGUCCUCAAGGAAGAUAAUGACGGUACUUGAGGAGGAAGCCCCGGCUAACUACGUGCCAGCAGCCGCGGUAAUACGUAGGGGGCUAGCGUUAUCCGGAUUUACUGGGCGUAAAGGGUGCGUAGGCGGUCUUUCAAGUCAGGAGUGAAAGGCUACGGCUCAACCGUAGUAAGCUCUUGAAACUGGGAGACUUGAGUGCAGGAGAGGAGAGUGGAAUUCCUAGUGUAGCGGUGAAAUGCGUAGAUAUUAGGAGGAACACCAGUUGCGAAGGCGGCUCUCUGGACUGUAACUGACGCUGAGGCACGAAAGCGUGGGGAGCAAACAGGAUUAGAUACCCUGGUAGUCCACGCUGUAAACGAUGAGUACUAGGUGUCGGGGGUUACCCCCUUCG